Molecule: transfer RNA, 88 nt
Filed under: Thermoprotei archaeon
Lineage: Archaea; Thermoproteati; Thermoproteota; Thermoprotei
Description: tRNA-Ser
Rfam family: tRNA
About the family: Transfer RNA (tRNA) molecules are approximately 80 nucleotides in length. Their secondary structure includes four short double-helical elements and three loops (D, anti-codon, and T loops).
Source: RNAcentral
GCCGGGGUGGCCGAGCGGACUAAGGCGCCGGCCUUGAGAGCCGGUGGGUGAUAAGCCCGCGCGGGUUCGAAUCCCGCCCCCGGCGCCA